AUUGAACGCUGGCGGCAGGCCUAACACAUGCAAGUCGAACGCGUGGCGGACGGGUGAGUAAUGUCUGGGAACCUGCCUGAUGGAGGGGGAUACAUACUGGAAACGGUAGCUAAUACCGCAUACCAUCAGAGGUGCCCAGAUGGGAUUAGCUAGUUGGUGGGGUAACGGCUCACCAAGGCGACUAUCCCUAGCUGGUCUGAGAGGAUGAACAGCCACACUGGAACUGAGACACGGUCCAGACUCCUACGGGAGGCAGAAGUGGGGAAUAUUGCACAAUGGGCGAAAGCCUGAUGCAGACAGGCCGCGUGUAUGAAGAAGGCCUUCGGGUGGUAAAGUACUUUCAGCGGGGAGGCGUUACCCGCAGAAGAAGCACCGGCUAACUCCGUGCCAGCAGCCGCGGUAAUUC
Molecule: ribosomal RNA, 406 nt
Filed under: uncultured bacterium
Lineage: Bacteria
Description: partial 16S ribosomal RNA
Rfam family: Bacterial small subunit ribosomal RNA
Source: RNAcentral